AUACGAAGGGGGCAAGCGUUGUUCGGAAUAACUGGGCGUAAAGCGCACGUAGGCGGAAUGUUAAGUUAGAGGUGAAAUCCCAGGGCUCAACCCUGGAACGGCCUUUAAUACUGGCAAUCUAGAGACCGAGAGAGGUGAGUGGAAUUCCGAGUGUAGAGGUGAAAUUCGUAGAUAUUAGGAGGAACACCAGUGGCGAAGGCGGCUCACUGGCUCGGUACUGACGCUGAGGUGCGAAAGCGUGGGGAGCAAACAGGAUUAGAAACCCUUGUAGUCC
RNAcentral lists this ribosomal RNA (274 nucleotides) under uncultured bacterium. RNAcentral describes it as "partial 16S ribosomal RNA". It matches the Rfam family "Bacterial small subunit ribosomal RNA", at positions 523 to 796 of the family's 1533-position model. The record is from RNAcentral.